RNAcentral lists this ribosomal RNA (253 nucleotides) under uncultured bacterium. Its description in RNAcentral is "partial 16S ribosomal RNA". It matches the Rfam family "Bacterial small subunit ribosomal RNA", at positions 524 to 776 of the family's 1533-position model. The record is from RNAcentral.
UACGUAGGGUGCGAGCGUUGUCCGGAAUUACUGGGCGUAAAGAGCUCGUAGGCGGUUUGUCACGUCGGGCGUGAAAACUCAGGGCUCAACCCUGAGCGUGCGUUCGAUACGGGCAGACUAGAGGUAUGCAGGGGAGAACGGAAUUCCUGGUGUAGCGGUGGAAUGCGCAGAUAUCAGGAGGAACACCAACGGCGAAGGCAGCUCGCUGGGACGGUACUGACGCUGAGGCGCGAAAGCGUGGGGAGCGAACAGG